AGAGUUUGAUCAUGGCUCAGAGCGAACGCUGGCGGCAGGCUUAACACAUGCAAGUCGAGCGGGCGUAGCAAUACGUCAGCGGCAGACGGGUGAGUAACGCGUGGGAACGUACCUUUUGGUUCGGAACAACCCAGGGAAACUUGGGCUAAUACCGGAUAAGCCCUUACGGGGAAAGAUUUAUCGUCGAAAGAUCGGCCCGCGUCUGAUUAGCUAGUUGGUGAGGUAACGGCUCACCAAGGCGACGAUCAGUAGCUGGUCUGAGAGGAUGAUCAGCCACAUUGGGACUGAGACACGGCCCAAACUCCUACGGGAGGCAGCAGUGGGGAAUAUUGGACAAUGGGCGCAAGCCUGAUCCAGCCAUGCCGCGUGAGUGAUGAAGGCCCUAGGGUUGUAAAGCUCUUUUGUGCGGGAAGAUAAUGACGGUACCGCAAGAAUAAGCCCCGGCUAACUUCGUGCCAGCAGCCGCGGUAAUACGAAGGGGGCUAGCGUUGCUCGGAAUCACUGGGCGUAAAGGGUGCGUAGGCGGGUCUUUAAGUCAGGGGUGAAAUCCUGGAGCUCAACUCCAGAACUGCCUUUGAUACUGAAGAUCUUGAGUUCGGGAGAGGUGAGUGGAACUGCGAGUGUAGAGGUGAAAUUCGUAGAUAUUCGCAAGAACACCAGUGGCGAAGGCGGCUCACUGGCCCGAUACUGACGCUGAGGCACGAAAGCGUGGGGAGCAAACAGGAUUAGAUACCCCAGUAGUCC
Molecule: ribosomal RNA, 744 nt
Filed under: uncultured bacterium
Lineage: Bacteria
Description: bacterial SSU rRNA
Rfam family: Bacterial small subunit ribosomal RNA
Source: RNAcentral